This is a non-coding RNA of Neurospora sp. IMI 360204, 82 nucleotides long. The record is from the annotation of a GenBank genome assembly. Lineage: Eukaryota; Fungi; Ascomycota; Sordariomycetes; Sordariales; Sordariaceae.
GCCCGCAUGGCUCAGUGGUAGAGCGCAUCACUAGUACCGACAAUACAUGAUGAGGUCGUCAGUUCGAUUCUGGCUGUGGGCA